RNAcentral lists this long non-coding RNA (485 nucleotides) under Androctonus crassicauda. The record is from RNAcentral. Lineage: Eukaryota; Metazoa; Arthropoda; Arachnida; Scorpiones; Buthidae.
AUUUCAUUUUCUUUUCGACAUGUUUCCGGAAAGAUUUUAAUCGUUUAUAAUUGCAGGAAUGAUAAGAAAAAUACUAAAAAUAGAUCCCACCAAAAUAUCUUGUUGGUUAUAUAAGGGAAGAUGUCUACAGAUCGCCAUGGAGGAGUGAAGCGACCGUGAAAGUCUCCGUUCGGUCAAUAUGAGGACACCGACUACGGGAGUGAGUCACUCCACCCCGAUCCGGUCGGAACCAGUUCAGUCCGGUAUGUCCCGGCGCGUGCAGUCUUUGUUUCCGGGGUUAGACUGCAGGCUGUGCUUCCAGCUUUUAUCCUUUGUUCGAGAUAUUCGCACACCUUUACUUUUUCGGUCAUUUAUUUUUUUGGUAAAAUAUAUAGUUUGUUAUUCCACAUCCGGUAUGCUUAUUUAAAUACACAUAAAUAUGUAUAAUUCUAAUAUAGGUUUAUCCUACAUUAUUUUUUGAACAGUAGAGAUCUUGUAAAAUUCCC